Molecule: ribosomal RNA, 527 nt
Filed under: uncultured bacterium
Lineage: Bacteria
Description: bacterial SSU rRNA
Rfam family: Bacterial small subunit ribosomal RNA
Source: RNAcentral
AAUAGAUACCCAGGUAGUCCACGCCGUAAACGAUGAGUGCUAGAUGUUGGAGGACAUCGUCCUUCAGUGUCGCAGCUAACGCAUUAAGCACUCCGCCUGGGGAGUACGGCCGCAAGGUUAAACUACAAAGGAAUUGACGGGGGCCCGCACAAGCGGUGGAGCAUGUGGUUCAAUUCGACGCAACGCGAAGAACCUUACCAGGCCUUGACAUGGGGAGUAUGGGUUCCCGAAAGGGGAUCCUUCAGUUCGGCUGGCUCCCACACAGGUGCUGCAUGGCUGUCGUCAGCUCGUGUCGUGAGAUGUUGGGUUAAGUCCCGCAACGAGCGCAACCCUCGUCUUCAGUUGCCAUCAGGUUAAGCUGGGCACUCUGAAGAACCGCCGGUGACAAGCCGGAGGAAGGUGGGGAUGACGUCAAGUCAUCAUGGCCCCUUACGGGCUGGGCUACACACGUGCUACAAUGGCAGUGACAAUGGGCAGCCACUCCGGCGAGGGGGGAGCUAAUCCCCAAAAAACUGUCUCAGUUCGGU